Molecule: unclassified non-coding RNA, 214 nt
Filed under: Hevea brasiliensis (rubber tree)
Lineage: Eukaryota; Viridiplantae; Streptophyta; Magnoliopsida; Malpighiales; Euphorbiaceae
Source: RNAcentral
ACGACAAGAACUAAACAUAUCUGUAAAAUGGCCAACGGAAGUGCAAAAUCCAGGGGAUUAUCACCCUGAAAAAUGCCGUUAGACGUAGCCUUCAUUGGAGAUGGACAAUGCUGAUCCAUAGUUUUACUGUAUGCCUCUCCAAACUAGUCCUGUAAACACAAUACUUGUAACGCGAGAUUUGCGAACUAAUAAAAAAAAUCAAACACCAAAAUAA